GGGGCGGUAGCUCAGUGGGUCAGAGCAGCGGACUCAUAAUCCGCCGGUCGGAGGUUCGAGUCCUCCCCGCCCCACGA
This 77-nucleotide transfer RNA is filed under the name Actinomycetota bacterium. RNAcentral's name for it is "Actinobacteria bacterium (sediment metagenome) tRNA-Met". It matches the Rfam family "tRNA". Rfam says of the family: Transfer RNA (tRNA) molecules are approximately 80 nucleotides in length. Lineage: Bacteria; Bacillati; Actinomycetota. The record is from RNAcentral.